UGGGGAAUAUUGCACAAUGGGCGCAAGCCUGAUGCAGCCAUGCCGCGUGUGUGAAGAAGGCCUUCGGGUUGUAAAGCACUUUCAGCGAGGAGGAAGGUGGUGAGCUUAAUACGCUCAUCAAUUGACGUUACUCGCAGAAGAAGCACCGGCUAACUCCGUGCCAGCAGCCGCGGUAAUACGGAGGGUGCAAGCGUUAAUCGGAAUUACUGGGCGUAAAGCGCACGCAGGCGGUUUGUUAAGUCAGAUGUGAAAUCCCCGGGCUCAACCUGGGAACUGCAUUUGAAACUGGCAAGCUAGAGUCUCGUAGAGGGGGGUAGAAUUCCAGGUGUAGCGGUGAAAUGCGUAGAGAUCUGGAGGAAUACCGGUGGCGAAGGCGGCCCCCUGGACGAAGACUGACGCUCAGGUGCGAAAGCGUGGGGCAGCAAACAGGAUUAGAUACCCUGGUAGUCCAGCGCUGUAAACGAUGUCGAUUUGGAGGUUGUGCCCUUGAGGCGUGGCUUCCGGAGCUAACGCGUUAAAUCGACCGCCUGGGGAGUACGGCCGCAAGGUUAAAACUCAAAUGAAUUGACGGGGUCU
RNAcentral lists this ribosomal RNA (576 nucleotides) under uncultured bacterium. RNAcentral describes it as "partial 16S ribosomal RNA". It matches the Rfam family "Bacterial small subunit ribosomal RNA", at positions 355 to 921 of the family's 1533-position model. The record is from RNAcentral.